This is a small nuclear RNA of Choloepus hoffmanni (Hoffmann's two-fingered sloth), 107 nucleotides long. The record is from Ensembl. Lineage: Eukaryota; Metazoa; Chordata; Mammalia; Pilosa; Megalonychidae.
AUGCUCGCUUCAGCAGCAAAUAUACCAAAAUUGGAACAAUACAGAGAAGAUUAGCGUGGCCCUUGCACAAGGACAACAUGCAAAUUCACGAGGUAUUCCAUAUUUUG